CGUAGGUGAACCUGCGGAAGGAUCAUUCAUAAUAAGUGUUUUAUGGCACUUUUUUAAAUCCAUGUCCACCUUGUGUGCAAUGUCAGGGUUGAUUUUUCUCUCGAGAGGAUCAGCCCCAAACAUCAACUAUAUCUCAACUCUUUGUCUGAAAAAUAUUAUGAAUAAAACAAUUCAAAAUACAACUUUCAACAACGGAUCUCUUGGCUCUC
Molecule: unclassified non-coding RNA, 209 nt
Filed under: plant metagenome
Description: partial contains small subunit ribosomal RNA, internal transcribed spacer 1, and 5.8S ribosomal RNA
Source: RNAcentral